UACGUAGGGUGCAAGCGUUAAUCGGAAUUACUGGGCGUAAAGCGUGCGCAGGCGGUUUGGUAAGACAGAUGUGAAAUCCCCGGGCUUAACCUGGGAAUUGCAUUUGUGACUGCCCGGCUAGAGUUUGGCAGAGGGGGGUAGAAUUCCACGUGUAGCAGUGAAAUGCGUAGAUAUGUGGAGGAAUACCGAUGGCGAAGGCAGCCCCCUGGGUCAAGACUGACGCUCAUGCACGAAAGCGUGGAGAGCAAACAGG
Molecule: ribosomal RNA, 253 nt
Filed under: uncultured bacterium
Lineage: Bacteria
Description: partial 16S ribosomal RNA
Rfam family: Bacterial small subunit ribosomal RNA
Source: RNAcentral